AUGACAAAACCCAAGUUCAUAGGAGGACUCGGCUUUAGAGAUGUGGAGCUUUUUAACUUGGCGCUUCUUGCCCGACAAGCUUGGAGACUGUUACAAGAACCUGAAACGCUGAGCGCGCGAGUACUCAGAGCCCGCUAUUAUCCUGGCGCUAACAUCUUAGACGCCACUUUGGGCACGCCCCCCUCCCAGGUCUGGCGAUCGCUCUUGGAAGUACGGGAUGUUCUUUCCUUGGGCCUCAUCAGGAGGAUCGGGUCAGGCGCGAGCACCCGAAUCUGGAGUGACAACUGGCUGCCGCGAGAUUUUAAGCUCCGGCCGAUCUGUGCAAGAACAAACGAUCCACCUAUUAUGGUUGAUGAGCUUAACGACCCAGUAACACGUUCUUGGGAUAGGCAAACUCUCAUGGAUCAUUUCAUUACUCCGGAUGUGGAUGUGAUUCUUAAUAUACCUAUCAGCACCCGGUUACAGGAGGAUUUCUGGGCGUGGCACUAUGAUCGACGGGGUGUUUUUUCAGUAAAAUCAGCAUAUAGAAUGAUCACCGCUAUUAAGGCGCAGAGAGAGGACUGGUUAGAGCAUCGGACGGGACACUCUAAUGUUGCUGCAGAUAGGAGAUCAUGGACACAGCUGUGGAAAGCGCAAGUCCCAUCUAAUAUACGAGUGUUCGUAUGGCGACUCGCACAUACAUCGAUCCCUACAUGACAGGUCCGAUUCGAGAGGAAUAUGACGGACAACCCAAUAUGCUCUAUUUGUAAUGCAGCGGAGGACUCGUGGCGCCACUCGCUUCUUAGUUGCAGUAUGGCCAAAUGCGUUUGGGCUCUAGGAGAUGAAGAACUCCUGGAGCAUGUGCUAUCAAACCAAAAUGAGGAUGCAAGGCUAUGGUUGUUAUGGCUGUUUGAGUCCACAAGUUAG
RNAcentral lists this ribosomal RNA (906 nucleotides) under Triticum aestivum (bread wheat). RNAcentral's name for it is "partial small subunit ribosomal RNA". Lineage: Eukaryota; Viridiplantae; Streptophyta; Magnoliopsida; Poales; Poaceae. The record is from RNAcentral.